This 407-nucleotide ribosomal RNA is filed under the name uncultured bacterium. RNAcentral's name for it is "partial 16S ribosomal RNA". It matches the Rfam family "Bacterial small subunit ribosomal RNA", at positions 30 to 526 of the family's 1533-position model. The record is from RNAcentral.
AUUGAACGCUGGCGGCAGGCCUAAUACAUGCAAGUCGAGCGGAGCGGCCGACGGGCGAGUAAUUCCUAGGAAUCUGCCUGGUAGUGGGGGAUAACGUCCGGAAACGGGCGCUAAUAUCGCAUACUACCAGAUGAGCCUAGGUGGGAUUAGCUAGUUGGUGGGGUAAAGGCCUACCAAGGCGACGAACCGUAACUGGUCUGAGAGGAUGAUCAGUCACACUGGAACUGAGACACGGUCCAGACUCCUACGGGAGGCAGCAGUGGGGAAAAUUGGACAAUGGGCGAAAGCCUGAUCCAGCCAUGUCGCGUGUGUGAAGAAGGUCUUCGGAUUGUAAAGCACUGUAAGUUGGGAGGCGGUACCAACAGAAUAAGCACCGGCUAACUACGUGCCAGCAGCCGCGGUAAUAC